GACGAACGCUGGCGGCGUGCUUAACACAUGCAAGUCGAACGAUGAAGAAAAGAAUUGAAGCUUCGGCAGAAAUUCAUUUCGGAUUAGUGGCAGACGGGUGAGUAACGCGUGAGCAACCUACCUCUUACAAAGGGAUAGCCUCGGGAAACCGGGAUUAAUACCAUAUAACAUUGCGACGAAGCAUUUCGAUGCAAUCAAAGCUACGGCGGUAAGAGAUGGGCUCGCGUCCCAUUAACCAGAUGGUGAGGUAACGGCUCACCAUAGUAACAAUGGGUAACCGGCCUGAGAGGGUGAACGGUCACACUGGAACUGAGACACGGUCCAGACUCCUACGGGAGGCAGCAGUGGGGAAUAUUGCACAAUGGAGGGAACUCUGAUGCAGCGACGCCGCGUGAGUGAUGAAGGAAUUCGUUUCGUAAAACUCUGUUCUAUGGGAAGAAAAGGACUGUACCAUAGGAGAAAGCUCCGGCUAAAUACGUG
Molecule: ribosomal RNA, 480 nt
Filed under: uncultured bacterium
Lineage: Bacteria
Description: partial 16S ribosomal RNA
Rfam family: Bacterial small subunit ribosomal RNA
Source: RNAcentral